CCUACGGGAGGCAGCAGUGGGGAAUCUUGCACAAUGGGGGAAACCCUGAUGCAGCGAUGCCGCGUGAGUGAAGAAGGCCCUUGGGUUGUAAAACUCUUUCGUCGGGGAAGAAAAUGACUGUACCCGAAUAAGAAGGUCCGGCUAACUUCGUGCCAGCAGCCGCGGUAAUACGAAGGGACCUAGCGUAGUUCGGAAUUACUGGGCUUAAAGAGCUCGUAGGUGGUUAAAAAAGUUGGUGGUGAAAUCCCAAGGCUCAACCUUGGAACUGCCAUCAAAACUUUUUAGCUAGAGUAUGAUAGAGGUAAGUGGAAUUUCUAGUGUAGAGGUGAAAUUCGUAGAUAUUAGAAAGAACACCAAAUGCGAAGGCAACUUACUGGAUCACUACUGACACUGAGGAGCGAAAGCAUGGGUAGCGAAGAGGAUUAGAUACCCUCGUAGUCCAUGCCGUGAACGAUGUGUGCUAGACGUUGGAAAUAUAUUUUUCAGUGUCGCAGCGAAAGCAUUAAGCACACCGCCUGGGGAGUACGACCGCAAGGUUAAAACUCAAAUGAAUUGACGG
Molecule: ribosomal RNA, 559 nt
Filed under: uncultured bacterium
Lineage: Bacteria
Description: bacterial SSU rRNA
Rfam family: Bacterial small subunit ribosomal RNA
Source: RNAcentral